Dama dama (fallow deer) is the source of this 3034-nucleotide long non-coding RNA. RefSeq lists it as uncharacterized. The record is from RefSeq and is a predicted model, not a curated record. Lineage: Eukaryota; Metazoa; Chordata; Mammalia; Artiodactyla; Cervidae. The transcript has 3 exons.
AAAGUCUGGGUUAUUUUUAUUAUUUCAUUGCCCAAUAAAUUGCCAUCUACUUCAGAGUAAUUAUGCAAAGUGACUGAUUCAUCAAGUUUAUUUCCUUCUAGUUUGAUAAAUUAAUUUAGUGCAGUGAUUUGAAGCACAUCAGAAGCUCUAGUUAGCUGUGAGUAGCAUGAUGGGUCUGGAGUGUGGAGGAAUAGUAAAAAGGGGCCUUUGGGGGGGAAAAAAAGUUGAGAUAUUCAUUGCCAGUUUUAGAAGAACAAGCACAACUCUGUUAAUAAUGGACAGGGUGGGACUCCUAUAUUCCAGGAUCCCAAAGGUUACCAUUCUGAUUGUAUCAGGUUGUGCUCCAGAAGUUGCUACAGGCAGCCCUGAGUCUAGGGAAUGUUACUGGAUACCUCUUUAUAAAAAGGAAUUGUUUGUAGGUGUGGUGGACAGAAUGCACUUCUCUGCAACCCCCUUUAAAAAAAAAAAAAAGAAACUGAAUAUGUUAUCUUAUUUGACACAAGGGACUUUGCAUGUGUGAUUAAGAGUUUUGGAAUGGGAAGAUUAUUUCUUGAAUUAUGGGGUGACAGGGCAGUUUAAUCACAAGAAUCCUUGUGAGAGGGAGGCAAGAGGGCCAUAAUCACAAAAGAAGUUGUCAAGGUCAGAGUGAUGAGUGGCUCACUAAGCCAAGGAAUCAGGCAUCCUUUAGAAACUUGAAAAGGCAAGAAAAACAGAUUAUUUCCUCAAGCCUCCAGAAGGAGCAAGUUCUAUUGUAUUUUGUAAUUCCUUAAUUCCAGUGUGUGUGAUUUAAUGUUUAAUAGUGAGCUAAAUUUAUUAGACUGAGCAGUGUGCCAUUGUAUAACUCCCUGGCGUUGGCACAGGGUGUCCUUGAUGAAAAUUAGAUAAACCUUAGAUUUGAGGGUCUAGAACUUUCUACCAGCCAGUUUGCCUGCUGCCUCAGGCAUCCAGAACUCUUAAGGAUAUAUCUCUUACAAAUUAAGUGGACUCAGAAGACACUGUACCAUAUGCAAGCACCUCAAGGAUGACUGCUCAAUAGAAGUUCUCUGAAUUCUGGUUAGUGAUACAAGAUUUGGAUGCUGAAAAGAAAUUACCUCAGACCUUUAUUUUACCCUGUAGCCCUGACCCUUAGCACAAACAUAUGUUUCUUCAUUCUGAAUUUUGCAAAAUAUCAUUGAUAAGUAAAUGCAAAGCUGUGUGUGGAGGUUUCUCUUAAAUAGUUAAGACAUUCAGCAGUCUAACCUAUAUUUUUUUAAUAACAUGCAUUGUUAAGUGUGCUCUUGCAUUUGUUAAAAUGUUUAUUAUUUGCAGUUGUGUUCACGUUCCUGUUCAUUCAGUAUUUUUUCAGUGACUGCUGUGUACUAUUUAAUAAGCACAGGAGAUAGAUAAGAACCUCCAUAAAAUAGAGGAAACAGUUAUUGGGCAAUCUGGUGGGUGACAGGUAUGUGUGUAACACAUAAAUGUACAAAGAUCCAGCCUCUGUUUGGUGUGGAGAGUGGGGUGGACACAGGGAGGACUUCACAGAGGAGGUGAUUCUUGAGACCAGAAGGUUGAAAAAAACAUAUAGCAUGUACAAAAACAUAGUGUACCUUGAAAAACGCAUGAUUUAAAGGAUCUGAAGAAACAAGAACACAAUAUAGUGCUAAGCUGUAGGCUGUGGUGCAGAGUGGACUGUUGCUGGGGGCCAGGGCACUGUGGCUGCGUGAAAAGAUGAUUGUGCUGUUUCCUGGGACCUCAACUGCCUCUGUGGCAGGCCUCUCUCAGGACCUGUCGACCUCAGAUCCAACUGCAAGCAGAGCUUUUUUAUAUAGGAGAUCUGCCUAUUUCCAGUUGGUUUUCUGUGAGAAUUAUUCCACAUGUUCAUGUGUUUUGUUGGUGAAGGUGAGUUUCACAUCCUACUACUCCACCAUCUUGAUUCCCCUCAGGAAGAACUUCUGAGUCUACUAAGUAAACAUAUUGUUGGCUGCUGUGUGAGACUGAUAUAUUUUAGCAACCUGUGUAUAUAAUAGAAAAGUUGUUCUUUAUUGUAUGUACAGUAGUAUUCCUCUACUUUUAAAAAAUUGUUUUAUUUAUUCCACCAUCUCUGAUCGGGCUCCCACUGUGUGACUGAUGGAUAGUUAGGUGCUGGAGAUUCAGUUUGUCUACUCUUUAGGGAUGCUGCUGCUACACUAUGAUAAAUGUGUAACAGUUUUAUUUAAGAACAGAUUCUUGUGUUAAAUUUUUUAUCUUAAUAACUUUAAGUAUCAGCAGUGAAUGAGCAAGUACUUUUUUUCACCAAAACCUAAUUGACAGCUAUCAGUCAAUGCAUGGAACAUGACUACUUAAAGCAUUCUUAUUCUAAAAGAAUUUCAGAAUUGAAAAAUCUUGAGCCAGCAUUGAGUCUGUCUCCCCAUUCUCCGCCUAGUUUUACUGAUGUGAAACAGAGAUUUAGAGAGGUCAGUAUUCAACUGAGGUUACAUAGCCAGCUUACUUGCAGAGCUUGGAGACCGUAUGUUCUGCCUAGUAGUAGUCUGGAAUCCUAGGACAUCUGUAUUAAUUAUUGGUUCGGCUUAGGUGAGCUGUUUUGGAUUUGAAACAUUUUGGGUGGUAUUUUUAAGUUCUUGAAUUUAGAAUUUUUGUUGCAUCUUUUGAAUUCUUUAGCCCAAAGAAUGGAGAAGAGGGUAUGCUCUCAAAAUACCUUGUGAUUUUGCUUUUAAGGCUUCCCUAGUGGCUCAGAUGGUAAAGGGUCUGCCAGCAAUGCGGGAGACCCGGGUUCGAUCCCUGGGUUGGGAAGAUCCCCUGGAGAAGGAAAUGGCAACCCACUCCAGAACUCUUGCCUGGAAAGUUCCAUGGACAGAAGAGCUUGGUAGACUACAGUCCAAGGGGUCAGAAAGAGUUGGACAUGACUGAGCAACUUCACUUUCUUUUUGCUGUUAAAAAGUGUUCUCAGACAUGUCAUUCUGUUUGCCUUUUUGAAGAAAAAAAUAUGAUUCUUAAUAUGGAAUUGUCUGACAUUUUUUUACCUAUGCAGUUUAUCUUGUGACAUUAAUUUUUCUUU